RNAcentral lists this small nucleolar RNA (114 nucleotides) under Echinops telfairi (small Madagascar hedgehog). RNAcentral describes it as "Small nucleolar RNA SNORA44 (ENSETEG00000025034.1)". It matches the Rfam family "Small nucleolar RNA SNORA44". Rfam says of the family: ACA44 is a member of the H/ACA class of snoRNA that guide the sites of modification of uridines to pseudouridines. Lineage: Eukaryota; Metazoa; Chordata; Mammalia; Afrosoricida; Tenrecidae. The record is from RNAcentral.
AAAAUUAUUUAGGAGGCCAUCUGAUCUCCUACUGCAUGCAGGAGCAACGUGGAGAGACGGUGACAGUUCAGGUCAGCACCGCAUCUGCAGUUGCCACUCGCCUUUCCUCUCACA